RNAcentral lists this ribosomal RNA (465 nucleotides) under Vreelandella stevensii. RNAcentral describes it as "partial 16S ribosomal RNA". It matches the Rfam family "Bacterial small subunit ribosomal RNA", at positions 338 to 795 of the family's 1533-position model. The record is from RNAcentral. Lineage: Bacteria; Pseudomonadati; Pseudomonadota; Gammaproteobacteria; Oceanospirillales; Halomonadaceae.
CCUACGGAGGGCUGCAGUGGGGAAUAUUGGACAAUGGGGGGAACCCUGAUCCAGCCAUGCCGCGUGUGUGAAGAAGGCCCUCGGGUUGUAAAGCACUUUCAGUGAGGAAGAACGCCUGGUGGUUAAUACCCAUCAGGAAAGACAUCACUCACAGAAGAAGCACCGGCUAACUCCGUGCCAGCAGCCGCGGUAAUACGGAGGGUGCGAGCGUUAAUCGGAAUUACUGGGCGUAAAGCGCGCGUAGGUGGCUUGAUAAGCCGGUUGUGAAAGCCCCGGGCUCAACCUGGGAACGGCAUCCGGAACUGUCAAGCUAGAGUGCAGGAGAGGAAGGUAGAAUUCCCGGUGUAGCGGUGAAAUGCGUAGAGAUCGGGAGGAAUACCAGUGGCGAAGGCGGCCUUCUGGACUGACACUGACACUGAGGUGCGAAAGCGUGGGUAGCAAACAGGAUUAGAUACCCUGGUAGUC